GCUGCCUUCCCGUUUCCUCCAAGUAUUCGCUAUGAAUUUUGGGCUAUUGGGUUUCUUUCAGGGAGCUUAACUUGUUAAGUUUACUACUAGUUUACUUGGUUUUCAUUUCUUCAUUGCUCUGGAUAUUGUUUUGGGUUUUCUUGUUAAGAAUACCCUUGGUCAGUAAGAUUGAUAAGUUGUUGAAUUUUUCUGUGAUUUGCAUUUCUCUCUUUCGGUCUUUUUCUUUUUCAUUGAUAAGCGUUUGAUUCCUGUUUCUUCGUUUAUGUGCUUCUUCUCCUCCCCAGCA
Molecule: long non-coding RNA, 286 nt
Organism: Telopea speciosissima
Lineage: Eukaryota; Viridiplantae; Streptophyta; Magnoliopsida; Proteales; Proteaceae
Exons: 2
Source: RefSeq, a predicted model, not a curated record